CCCUGCCCUUUGUACACACCGCCCGUCGCUACUACCGACUGAACGAGUUUAUGAGGUCCUUGGACUGGCUGGCGUGAACCUUCACGGGCUCAUAUCAGCUGGAAAAUUGAUCAAAUAUGCUCGUUUGG
Molecule: ribosomal RNA, 128 nt
Filed under: uncultured eukaryote
Lineage: Eukaryota
Description: partial small subunit ribosomal RNA
Rfam family: Eukaryotic small subunit ribosomal RNA
Source: RNAcentral